This is a long non-coding RNA of Mirounga angustirostris (Northern elephant seal), 3463 nucleotides long. RefSeq lists it as uncharacterized. The record is from RefSeq and is a predicted model, not a curated record. Lineage: Eukaryota; Metazoa; Chordata; Mammalia; Carnivora; Phocidae. The transcript has 4 exons.
CGGCGCGCGCCGAGCCGGCUCCGCGGCGGACGCGAGCGCGGAAGCGCGAGGAAUCCUUGGAAUGAGGCGCCGCCCGCCCUCAGCCGGGCUCUGCCGGGCUCCGCCUGGCCCGCCAGGACACGCCCCCGGACACGCCCCUCCCACCGAGCAGGUGGGCGGCCGAGCCCAGAAAUGGCAUCAAUCUGAUCUACCUUGAAGUGGAGUGUCCGUGAGGGUCUGUGAGGGCCUGUGACAUCAGGCACAGUCCAGCGAGGAGGAAGGAUAGGACAAGGGAGAGUGGGAACUACAGGAUAUAUAACACAGCUGUCAGCAAGUGAAGGUGGGGAGGCACCAAGAUUCUGACCAAUGCAACACUUGGAAAGGCCCUCAGGAGUUCAGUCAGAGUCCACAAAUGAGCCUCACCUCCACCAUGACCCAACACGAAUUUUACCCUUCACCCAAUUGGAUGGAGUCCAGUGAUAGGACCAUUUUGAGUAGUAGUAACCCAAGCCUCAAAUUGUCUGUGGAAUUCAAUGAAGGUGAUAUUCCAAGGUUUGGAGCAGUACCAUUUGAAACCUGUCAAGGAGUCAGUGGAAAGUGAACUGUGGAUAUCAACAAGGUCUUGGCUCCCCAGCAUCUAGAGGUCCUUCCUAUUUGGGAGAAAUUCUUCAUUGGCUACGUUUACAGAAGCCGAAGGGCGCCCCAUGACCCCUCCCUGAGCCAGGAGGUGGGCAAAUGGUCUAGGCUCAGCCAACUGGAUGUUCCUGCCCAGGAUCUUGGUGAUGGCAAUAUCAAGAGUCCUGGAAUGGUAAUGCCCGGGCCAAAGUGGGGAAUCCAGUGCUGGGACAGUCAUAGCUCCCCCUCUGCCCCAGAUGGUUCUGGGGAAGCCCUGACCACCCUCUCCAGCUCUGACCAGUUUGGUUCUCUACUCUUCCCACCUGUUUUUCAGCCACCCAAUCCCCAUCCAACAAACUCCAUUUCUGCUUAUAUUACCAGAGACCAACCAUUUCUGCUCACUAUAACCCAGAGCCCUAGCUUAACAUUAAGUAAUUUGCACACCCCCAACAAAGAACAGAAAUUCCGGACUCCCAGAGUUGAUGUACAUUGUUCUUGUUCCCGUGUACCUUGAAUAUGUAUAACCUCCUUAGAGGCUUGUACCUAGGUCUUAAGCAGCUAUCGAACACAAACACCUUAGCAAGGUAAAUACAAGCAAUGCCACCAAAUCACCAAUGUUGACAUUAACAGCAUGGACCUAAUAUGACAGAUGGUGCUGCUUUAUUAAAUUACAUAGCUGUUAAUAAUAGGAAUGUGAAACUGACUGAUAUGGGCUCGUGUGUUUUCAUUUUACUACUACCAUGGGCCACUUGAUGACUUAACUCUUCUAACCUCUUUUUUCCAUUCAAACCUCAGUGAACACUCAUUCAUACAGCUGAUCUUGAGGUCAUUUGCUCUUUACUUUGCAUGGGUGCACCAUUCACUAGUGAAGACUACUAAUGUUCUUUGGCUCUUUGGGCUGGGACCAUUAAAAUUGUUCUACUCAGCUCUAAUGCCAUUGCAAACAUAAAUGCAGAUGCAGGGGCUCAAUCAGCUAGAAGAGUCAUCCAGACAACCCAAUAUUUGCUUGUAUCAAUUUUUUAAAGGUUAACAUCAAGAAUACUAAAUUUUAAAAAUUCUCCUACAAAACUCAUAAAUUCCUAAGACUACAUUUGUAAACCUCAGUUUCAGAAAUCAUGGCAAUGUAGUUAAGGAGCAUAAGCUUUAAAAAAAGGAGUGUAAACUUUGGAGUUAAAGGAAAAAAAUUCUGGUUUUGAAUCCUAACCCCAUCCUUUAAGAGUCUUGGAAUGGUGAGCAAGUUGUAAUCUGAGCCUUAAUUUUCUUACCUGUAGAAUGGAACAGUAAUACCUAUCUUUCAGGACAGUGGUAUUAAACAAGAUAAUUGUGUAACUAUAAUAAAUGGUAGUCAUUAUUGUUAUAGGUAUCCUAAUUGACAUUCAAAUUGGUUAACAUAGUUGCCCCAGUUCAUACAACCAUUUGGUCCCAGAAACAGACCUGGAGCCCAGAUCCCCUCAACACCUCAAAUCUUGUUUUUAAAAGCAUCUGUGCUGGAGUACCUGGGUGGCUCAGUCGUUAAGCAUCUGCCUUUGGCUCAGGUCAUGAUCCUGGGGUCCUGGGAUCGAGCCCUGCAUUAGGCUCCCUGCUCCGUGGGAAGCCUGCUUCUCCCUCUCCCACUCCCCCUGCUUGUGUUCCCUCUCUCGCUGUGUCUCUCUCUGUCAAAUAAAGAAAUAAAAUCUUUAAAAAAAAAAAAAAAGGCAUCUGUGCUGAGCAAGGCGAGGCCCCUAGGGGCAAGCUGCCUACCUUUUAGGGCUGUGCUCCUAGAAAGCUGCUGUGUCUGAGACAUUUGCACUCUGCAGGAAAUUAUUCAUUCCAGGUUAAUUUCGUGGAUGAUCAUUCAAAAACACAUGAUCACAUUAUUCCCCUACUUGGAAACUAUCCAUUAUACCUAUGGUUCUCCAAAUGGGGUCCCCUGAUCAACAGGGACUUAUUAGAAAUGCAAAUGCAAAUUCUCAGGCCUGAUCCCAGACAUACUCCAGCAGAAGCUCUGGUGGUAAGGACCAGUGUUCUGUGUUUCACUGAGCCCCUCGGAUGAUCCUGAAGCAUGCUAAAGUUUAAAAACUCCUGCAUGAUAGGACCAAGUCCAUACUUCCUUAGCACAGCAUUCAAGUCUCUUCCUGUGCUGGUCCCAGGCUACUCUUCUAGCCUCCUCUCCGAACACUCCUGAAAACACUUUAUGCUCCAGCACCAUCAGACUUUACUUUCUGUCUUAAACGUGACAGGCCCUCUUAUGCCUUAGUACGUGCAGUGCAUUUCCCUCUACUGGGCAUUUCUCCAAAAAGUCUCUUCCUCUGUGAAGCUUUCCCUGAUUGCUUCAAGGCUGGAUGUGUGGCUCUGCAGCCUCUGUGUCAUAUUUCUAUUGCAUAUACAGGGGUUGAUCACACUGUAUUGUCUCUCACUAGUUACUGAGACCGCUAGUUACCAAUCAUUAUCCAGGUUCUCCCUGCCCCAGCAAGAGAAUGCUGAUUUCCCAGCUCCCUUGCAAGACAGGAGUGGUCAACGAGAUGCAAACAGAAGCUGAUGGGUUUUGGGGGUGCUUGAUGAUUCAGCUGGCAGGUACUCUGCUGCUCUCCUCUCCUUCCUCCUUAUACGAGCCAAGCUGCAUUGCCCACCUUGCAACCAUGGGUAAGCUUGAGGCUGGGGAGACCAUGCUAAGGAUGGCAGAGAAAAAAACAUAGCAGGAGCCUGGGAUGUUGGUGACAUUGUGAGGCCACUGCACCAUCUCUGGACCUUUGUCCCCUGGCUUUAGGUUACAUGAUAUUCAAAUAAAUCCCUUUCUUCCCUUCCCCUUUUCUUUCCUUCCUUCCUCCCUCCCUCCCUCCCUCGCUCCCUUCCUCCCUCCCUGUGGCUCUCUCUCUCUCUCUCCCCCUCC